GCGUGAGUGAUGAAGGCCCUAGGGUUGUAAAGCUCUUUUACCCGAGAUGAUAAUGACAGUAUCGGGAGAAUAAGCUCCGGCUAACUCCGUGCCAGCAGCCGCGGUAAUACGGAGGGAGCUAGCGUUGUUCGGAAUUACUGGGCGUAAAGCGCGCGUAGGCGGCCUAUCAAGUCAGGGGUGAAAGCCCGGGGCUCAACCCCGGAAUUGCCUUUGAAACUAGUAGGCUAGAAUCUUGGAGAGGCGAGUGGAAUUCCGAGUGUAGAGGUGAAAUUCGU
RNAcentral lists this ribosomal RNA (275 nucleotides) under uncultured bacterium. RNAcentral describes it as "partial 16S ribosomal RNA". It matches the Rfam family "Bacterial small subunit ribosomal RNA", at positions 399 to 691 of the family's 1533-position model. The record is from RNAcentral.